Molecule: ribosomal RNA, 445 nt
Filed under: uncultured bacterium
Lineage: Bacteria
Description: bacterial SSU rRNA
Rfam family: Bacterial small subunit ribosomal RNA
Source: RNAcentral
UGGGGAAUAUUGCGCAAUGGGCGAAAGCCUGACGCAGCGACGCCGCGUGAGGGAUGAAGGUCCUCGGAUCGUAAACCUCUGUCAGAAGGGAAGAAGUUACAUCAAUCUAAUCAAUGGUGUAUUGACGGUACCUUCAAAGGAAGCACCGGCUAACUCCGUGCCAGCAGCCGCGGUAAUACGGAGGGUGCGAGCGUUAAUCGGAAUUACUGGGCGUAAAGCGCACGUAGGCUGUAUGUCAAGUCAAGGGGUGAAAUCCCCUGGGCUCAACCUGGGGAACUGCCUUUGAAACUGGCAAACUGGAGUAUGUGAGAGGGCGGCGGAAUUCCUGGUGUAGGAGUGAAAUCCGUAGAUAUCAGGAGGAACAUCAGUGGCGAAGGCGGCCGCCAUGGCACAAAAGCUGACGCUGAGGUGCGAAAGCGUGGGGUAGCAAACAGGAUUAGAUACC